RNAcentral lists this ribosomal RNA (460 nucleotides) under uncultured bacterium. RNAcentral describes it as "partial 16S ribosomal RNA". It matches the Rfam family "Bacterial small subunit ribosomal RNA", at positions 338 to 795 of the family's 1533-position model. The record is from RNAcentral.
CCUACGGGAGGCUGCAGUGAGGAAUAUUGGUCAAUGGCCGGAAGGCUGAACCAGCCAUGCCGCGUGAAGGUAAGUGCCCUAUGGGCGUUAAACUUCUUUUGUGCGGGAGCAAUAAUGGUCACGUGUGGCCAGACGAGAGUACCGUACGAAUAAGCAUCGGCUAACGCCGUGCCAGCAGCUGCGGUAAUACGGGGGAUGCAAGCGUUAUCCGGGUUUAUUGGGUUUAAAGGGUGCGUAGGCUGUGAGGUAAGUCAGCGGGGAAAUGCCCCCGCUCAACGGGGUGAAGUGCCAUUGAUACUGCCUUGCUGGAAUGCGGAUGCCGUGGGAGGAAUGUGUGGUGUAGCGGUGAAAUGCAUAGAUAUCACACAGAACACCGAUUGCGAAGGCAUCUCACGAAUCCGCGAUUGACGCUGAUGCACGAAAGCGUGGGUAUCAAACAGGAUUAGAUACCCUUGUAGUC